AGACCCUGCUCUGGUGGUGUCACCGCUCUGCUGUCGCAGGGAACCGGACAGCUUGCGCAGCGGAUGGGUGUGCGAAUGGACGCUGAGGGUCUACAUGAAGGAAGACUACUACUCGGGGCAGGAAUGCAGUCUUCUGUAUCUCCCCACAGCUUCUAAGAGUGUUCUGCAGCUCAAAGUUCCCUGAUAAAGAGGGUGACUCAAGCAUUUUAAUGAACCAGAGUACAGAUCAAGGCUGUGCAAGCAAAGGACUUCAUAAAGCUUCAGAAAGACCGGAACCAAGCCUGUCACUCCUUCAUUUAACGGAUACUUAUCGAGAGCCCAUGUGUGUCAGAUACCUGCACCGUGGAGAGGCAAGGGUGAACGAAACACCAGGGAUUCUGCAAUGAACCUUCUCAAUUAAUUCAGAGUCACCAGCACCUGGGAAUCCCCGGCAUACAGCAGUCACUUAAUGAAUACUCACUGGAUAAGAGACAAACGUGCUUCUGGACAGUGACGUGUACCAGUGGGGUGGCUGAGUCAUCAACAAAGCUGCUGUGUGCUGGCUGAAGGAGGGGCCAGAGAGAUUCAGAGUCCCAUGGGCUCAGCCUAGGGGGCUGCUGAGGCCAGUCUCUUCAUUGCUCUGGAAGACAAAAGGCUACGGCCCCCACUGGUCUCCUUCUCCCUCAUCCUGGGGCUCUGGGCAAGUUCAUCAACAUCCCCCCCGCCCCCCCG
This is a long non-coding RNA of Zalophus californianus (California sea lion), 711 nucleotides long. RefSeq lists it as uncharacterized. Lineage: Eukaryota; Metazoa; Chordata; Mammalia; Carnivora; Otariidae. The record is from RefSeq and is a predicted model, not a curated record. The transcript is spliced from 4 exons.